GUGAGGAAUAUUGGUCAAUGGGCGAGAGCCUGAACCAGCCAAGUCGCGUGAAGGAAGAAGGAUCUAUGGUUCGUAAACUUCUUUUGCAGGGGAAUAAAGUGCAGGACGUGUCCUGUUUUGUAUGUACCCUGAGAAUAAGGAUCGGCUAACUCCGUGCCAGCAGCCGCGGUAAUACGGAGGAUCCGAGCGUUAUCCGGACUUAUUGGGUUUAAAGGGUGCGUAGGUGGUUUGAUAAGUCAGCGGUGAAAGUUUGCAGCUUAACUGUAAAAAUGCCGUUGAAACUGUCGGACUUGAGUGUAAAUGAGGUAGGCGGAAUGCGUGGUGUAGCGGUGAAAUGCAUAGAUAUCACGCAGAACUCCGAUUGCGAAGGCAGCUUACUAAGCUACAACUGACACUGAAGCACGAAAGCGUGGGGAUCAAACAGGAUUAGAAACCCGUGUAGUCC
Molecule: ribosomal RNA, 445 nt
Filed under: uncultured bacterium
Lineage: Bacteria
Description: partial 16S ribosomal RNA
Rfam family: Bacterial small subunit ribosomal RNA
Source: RNAcentral